CAGGAUGCAGCCCAGUUGGUAGAGUAGCUGCCUGGCAUGCAUAAAGCCCUGGGGUCGAUUCCCAGCAUCCGGC
This 73-nucleotide transfer RNA is filed under the name Mus musculus (house mouse). It matches the Rfam family "tRNA". From Rfam's summary of the family: Transfer RNA (tRNA) molecules are approximately 80 nucleotides in length. Their secondary structure includes four short double-helical elements and three loops (D, anti-codon, and T loops). Further hydrogen bonds mediate the characteristic L-shaped molecular structure. tRNAs have two regions of fundamental functional importance: the anti-codon, which is responsible for specific mRNA codon recognition, and the 3' end, to which the tRNAs corresponding amino acid is attached (by aminoacyl-tRNA synthetases). tRNAs cope with the degeneracy of the genetic code in two manners: having more than one tRNA (with a specific anti-codon) for a particular amino acid; and 'wobble' base-pairing, i.e. permitting non-standard base-pairing at the 3rd anti-codon position. The record is from Rfam by way of RNAcentral. Lineage: Eukaryota; Metazoa; Chordata; Mammalia; Rodentia; Muridae.